This 406-nucleotide unclassified non-coding RNA is filed under the name Andryala integrifolia. Its description in RNAcentral is "partial external transcribed spacer". The record is from RNAcentral. Lineage: Eukaryota; Viridiplantae; Streptophyta; Magnoliopsida; Asterales; Asteraceae.
GCAAAAAUAGAAUCAAUGAAGACACUACAGCCCACAACAGGUUCCGUAUCCAAGUGUCCAAACGACGCUCCAAGGGCCAUGCCAACGAUGCGAGCACAACGAGAACAUGGACCGCAGAGACCGUUUCGAGGUUCGUUCAACGCCGCAAGCGACGCAUCACGAAAGGGGCUUUGAUCAAACCAAACGAUGCCAUCGAUUAGGUAUGCAACACACGAAACCCACCACAUGCCCAAGGCAAAUGAAGCCUUGUAGCACAACUGAAGAGGUAAGAACGCGUAGAAGGUGCUGCUCAAGCAGAUCACCAACCACCCGUAACAAACCAAACACCACUCAUGCACCUUUACGGACAUCAUCCCCGAAGACCACCCAACUUACAGCCACCCCCUUGGCACCAAGGCCAAGAAAA